UAUAUAUAUUCUCGUUGAAAACAUAGGUAAGUUCAUAGCAGUGUAGAAUCGUGGUGCAGACUUGUGAAAUGAUGUCUUGGUACUGAUAUUUAGUAUUAGUUUUGUACUCAUCAAAUAAAAAGAUCUAAACUAAAACAAAUAUCUUUUUUGAAAUAAAAGUAAAAGAGUUAGUGACAUCUAUUAUUGAUCUCACCAAAUUUACCAAAGUGAAACAUCAAAAAGAUAGAGGGGGAACAAAUGAGAGUUCAACCAUUCAUAUAUAUCUUCUUAUAUGGUCUAUGAAUAAUUGAAGCCAAGCUUCCAGUAAUAUCAUCAUAAUCAUAAAGUUACAACAAUUUGGAAAAUUACUUGGCAACCUUAUCAAUUGAAAAUCUACAUGAAAUGACCAUAGACCAAACUAUAAGCAUGUGCAAAUUGUGAUAAAACUCUAUUGUAUAUUUAGAAAAUUAGAAGAUCUUUGUUCUUUUAUUCGAUGAGUCAAUCUAUCCAUUCUCAUUAGGGGAAUUCCUUUAUCUUAUCAAGAGUCCUAGGGAAAUAAAAAAUAACUUCGAGGUAUUUUUUUCGUUUCUUUAAACUUCUUACAAUUUUAUCAUCCUACACCUCAGGACUCACAUAGCUUUAAAGUUAUUUUCUAUUCAAGCAAUCCAAUUUCCACCAAGGACGAUAAAUUUUAAGUUGUCAUAAUACUAAACAAAGAAUAGCUAAGGAUAUGACUACUUUAAAGGUUAUUAUGGAUAUUGUGGGAAGAACACACAUGAAAAGCAAGCUUUGUAAACAUAAAUUUGGCUAACCAAGUUGGGUCGGUGAUCCUAGUUUUAGCAUCUUGCCUGAACUUGCAUAUUUUGUCACUGCUACUUCCCUUUCUUGUCAAUCAUAGUUGAAGAGGUCAUAUUCCUUUUGUUUCUUUUAGUGGCACUUGUAAUCCAUUGAUUGAAGAUAGAAAAGUAACUGCAGUUUCGGUGACCUCAAGGUUAUGAGCCUUGCGAGCUAUCAGAUUGUUGUACCACAAGCCAAAGAUAAGAACUGAAAACUAAUAGAUAAAAAGAAUUAAAUGUUCCCCUCCACCCUAUCAGUACAAAUAGAAUAAAAGUGAAACAUCAAAAAGAUAGAGGGGAACAAAUGAGAGUUCAACCAUUCAUAUAUAUCUUCUUAUAUGGCCUAUGAAUAGUUCAAGCCAAGCUUCCAGUAAUAUCAUCAUAAUCAUAAAGUUGCAACAAAUUGGGAAAUUACUUGGCAACCUUAUCAAUUGAAAUCUACAUGAAAUGACCAUAGACCAAACUAUAAGCAUGUGCAAAUUGUGAUAAAACUCUAUUGUAUAUUUAGAAAAUUAGAAGAUCUUUGUUCUUUUAUUCGAUGAGUCAAUCUAUCCAUUCUCAUUAGGGGAAUUCCUUUAUCUUAUCAAGAGUCCUAGGGAAAUAAAAAAUAACUUCGAGGUAUUUUUUUCGAUUCUUUAAACCUCUUCAAAUUUUAUCAUCCUACAUCUCAGGACUCAGAUAGCUUUGAAGUUAUUUUCUAUUCAAGCAAUCCAAUUUUCACAAAGGACGAUAAAUUUUAAGUUGUCAUAAUAUUAAACAAAGAAUAGCUAAGGAUAUGACUACAUUAAAGGUCAUUAUGGAUAUUGUGGGAAGAACACACAUGAAAAGCAAGCUUUGUAAACAUAAAUUUGGCUAACCAAGUUGUGUCGGUGAUCCUAGUUUCAGCAUCUUGCCUGAAUAUUUUGUCACUGCUACUUCCCUUUCUUGCAAAUCGUAGUUGAAGAGGUCAUAUUCCUUUUGUUUCUUUUAGUGGCACUUGUAAUCCAUUGAAUUAGGAUGUUACAGAAUUUGAUAAUAUAUUUACUAAGAUCAAUGGAUCAUUCUUCUAACAAUUUGAACAUAACUUUCAUCAAACAUGUUAUGUACAAAGGAAUAUGACUACAAAAUGAGGAUAGAAAAGUAACUGCAGUUUCCGUGAGCUCAAGGUUAUGAGCCUUGCGAGCUAUCAGAUUGAUGUACCACAAGCCAAAGAUAAGAACUGAAAACUAAUAUAUAAAAAGAAUUAAAUGUUCCCCUCCACCUUAUCAGUACAAAUAGAAUAAAAGUGAAACAUCAAAAAGAUAAAGGGGAACAAAUAAGAGUUCAACCAUUCAUAUAUAUCUUCUUAUAUGGCCUAUGAAUAGUUCAAGCCAAGCUUCCA
Molecule: long non-coding RNA, 2175 nt
Filed under: Solanum tuberosum (potato)
Lineage: Eukaryota; Viridiplantae; Streptophyta; Magnoliopsida; Solanales; Solanaceae
Description: long non-coding RNA (STUB_LNC010469)
Source: RNAcentral